This 305-nucleotide ribosomal RNA is filed under the name uncultured bacterium. Its description in RNAcentral is "partial 16S ribosomal RNA". It matches the Rfam family "Bacterial small subunit ribosomal RNA", at positions 508 to 807 of the family's 1533-position model. The record is from RNAcentral.
ACAGCAGCCGCCACGGUAAUACGGAGGGUGCUAGCGUUGUUCGGAAUUACUGGGCGUAAAGCGCGCGUAGGCGGUUACUCAAGUCAGAGGUGAAAGCCCGGGGCUCAACCCCGGAACUGCCUUUGAAACUAGGUGACUAGAAUCUUGGAGAGGUCAGUGGAAUUCCGAGUGUAGAGGUGAAAUUCGUAGAUAUUCGGAAGAACACCAGUGGCGAAGGCGACUGACUGGACAAGUAUUGACGCUGAGGUGCGAAAGCGUGGGGAGCAAACAGGAUUAGAUACCCGUGUAGUCCCUGUCUCUUAUAC